This 527-nucleotide long non-coding RNA is filed under the name Fukomys damarensis (Damara mole-rat). RNAcentral describes it as "lncRNA (ENSFDAG00000024543.1)". Lineage: Eukaryota; Metazoa; Chordata; Mammalia; Rodentia; Bathyergidae. The record is from RNAcentral.
AAACUAUUCUCUGCGAUUUGAAUGAAUGGAGCGGGGAGACUCAGAGGAUAGGUCACAAAUUUAAAAGCCACAGAGGUCAAGGAGAAUGGAGCUGUUAACAUCACUCCUAUGACAAAAAGAAGACCAGGAAGGAGGAUACAGACACGAAAUGAAUUCAAGGGAAUACAACAAACAGGAACUUCUGGAAUUCACUACCAGAGUCAAAGGCCAAGCCACGUUUCUCUGUCCUCCUGCCUGGCUUCAAUGCACCAUGAACCAGGACCCCAGCCUAGCCGGAAUCGGACCUUCAUACAGAACAAGGUUUUGUGUGAUGAAGAAGGAAAACCUCUGAAAUGUGAAUUUAAAAGUCAAGCACCCAAGAACCCCAGCUAUCUCAUCAACACUUCAGAUACCUCAGAAAUGCAUUGGAAUUUUUAAAAAAUUGAUUCUACAAAUCCCCUGCUUCUCUUCAGACCACGUGGGGUUUGCAGCAGAAUACAUGCCAUAUAGACACAUCCCCUGAAGUGUAAUAGAUUUGAAUUGCACAC